UACGGGGGGGGCAAGCGUUGUUCGGAAUUACUGGGCGUAAAGGGCGCGUAGGCGGCCUGCUAAGUCAGACGUGAAAUCCCUCGGCUUAACCGGGGAACUGCGUCUGAUACUGGAUGGCUUGAGUGUGGGAGAGGGAUGCGGAAUUCCAGGUGUAGCGGUGAAAUGCGUAGAUAUCUGGAGGAACACCGGUGGCGAAGGCGGCAUCCUGGACCACGACUGACACUGAAACGCGAAAGCCAGGGGAGCAAACGGG
This 253-nucleotide ribosomal RNA is filed under the name uncultured bacterium. RNAcentral describes it as "partial 16S ribosomal RNA". It matches the Rfam family "Bacterial small subunit ribosomal RNA", at positions 524 to 776 of the family's 1533-position model. The record is from RNAcentral.